AUGACUCCAACUCACCUCCACCUCCUCCUACUCCUGCUACUACUAGUAUGCUCCUACCCCAUAGAUACUGCAGCCAAGCAUAACACCACUGCCUCUUGCCUCCGAGAUCAAGCUUCUUUGCUCCUCCAGCUAAAGCGUUCAUUCACCGAUGUCGACGCGAAUCUGGCGUCCUGGCAAGCUGGAAAAGACUGCUGCCACUGGGAGGGCGUCACCUGUGACAUGGCUGCCGGGAGAGUCGUUUCCCUGGACCUCGGUGGGUUUCACUUGGCGAGCCGUCAACUCGAUGUUGCGCUCUUCAACCUUACCUCUCUGAGAAACCUCAGUCUUGCGUGCAAUGACUUUGGUAAUUCCAACCUCCCAUCUUAUGGGUUUGAGCGGCUCACAAAUAUCAUCCAUCUCAAUUUCUCCUCUACCAAUUUUUUCGGCCAGAUUCCUAUUGGAAUUUCCUGCCUCAAGAACCUUGUCACUCUUGAUUUUUCUAAUAACAAUCACAUGUAUUUGCAAGAUCCAAACUUCCAGACCUUCAUGGCAAAUCUAAGCAACUUAAGGGAGCUCCGUCUCGAUGAAGUGGGCAUCUCUAAUGGUAUUGGUGGGUCAACUUGGUCCGUUGCAUUAGCGGACUUUGCUCCUCAACUAGAAAUUCUUAGCUUGGUUAUGUGUGGUAUAUCUGGUCCUAUUCACCAUUCCUUCUCGAGGCUUCAUUCGCUAACAGAGAUACUGCAGAACCUCUAG
Molecule: ribosomal RNA, 732 nt
Filed under: Triticum aestivum (bread wheat)
Lineage: Eukaryota; Viridiplantae; Streptophyta; Magnoliopsida; Poales; Poaceae
Description: partial small subunit ribosomal RNA
Source: RNAcentral